UACGUAGGGUGCGAGCGUUAAUCGGAAUUACUGGGCGUAAAGGGUGCGCAGGCGGUUAUAUAAGACAGAUGUGAAAUCCCCCGGGCUCAACCUGGGAACUGCGUUUGUGACUGUAUGACUAGAGUACGGUAGAGAGGGGUGGAAUUCCUGGUGUAGCAGUGAAAUGCGUAGAUAUCAGGAGGAACACCAAUGGCGAAGGCAGCUCGCUGGGACGGUACUGACGCUGAGACGCGAAAGCGUGGGGAGCAAACAGG
RNAcentral lists this ribosomal RNA (254 nucleotides) under uncultured bacterium. RNAcentral's name for it is "partial 16S ribosomal RNA". It matches the Rfam family "Bacterial small subunit ribosomal RNA", at positions 524 to 776 of the family's 1533-position model. The record is from RNAcentral.